GAUGAACGCUGGCGGCGUGCCUAACACAUGCAAGUCGAACGGUCACUUCGUUGAUAGUUGCGGUCGGGUGUGUAACGCGUAGGACUCUACCCUUAGGCAGGGGACACUAACUGUAAACGGUUGUUACUACCCGAUGUGCAGAGAUGUGAAAACUAAUGGGACUAGGGAAAAGCUUGCGUCUGUUUAGCUAGUUGGUGUGGUAAGAGCGCACCAAGGCGACGAUCAGUAGCAGGUUUGAGAGGAGGAGCAGCCACACUGGGUCUGAGACGCAGCCGAGACGCCUACGGGAGGAAGCAGGGGAGAAUGUUCCGCAAAGGGCGAGAGCGUGACGGAGCAACGCCGCGUGAGAGAGGAAUUUCUUGGGAUUGAAAACCUCUUGGCUCAAACAAGGAGUCAGUGACGGUACUUGAGGAAUAAGCAGCGGCUAACUUCGUG
This 435-nucleotide ribosomal RNA is filed under the name uncultured bacterium. Its description in RNAcentral is "partial 16S ribosomal RNA". It matches the Rfam family "Bacterial small subunit ribosomal RNA", at positions 28 to 507 of the family's 1533-position model. The record is from RNAcentral.